GACGAACGCUGGCGGCGUGCCUAAUACAUGCAAGUAGAACGCACAGUUUAUACCGUAGCUUGCUACACCAUAGACUGUGAGUUGCGAACGGGUGAGUAACGCGUAGGUAACCUGCCUGGUAGCGGGGGAUAACUAUUGGAAACGAUAGCUAAUACCGCAUAAUAUUAAUUAUUGCAUGAUAAUUAAUUGAAAGGUGCAAUUGCACCACUACCAGAUGGACCUGCGUUGUAUUAGCUAGUAGGUGAGGUAACGGCUCACCUAGGCGACGAUACAUAGCCGACCUGAGAGGGUGAUCGGCCACACUGGGACUGAGACACGGCCCAGACUCCUACGGGAGGCAGCAGUAGGGAAUCUUCGGCAAUGGACGAAAGUCUGACCGAGCAACGCCGCGUGAGUGAAGAAGGUUUUCGGAUCGUAAAGCUCUGUUGUAGGAGAAGAACGGGUGUGAGAGUGGAAAGUUCACACUGUGACGGUAUCUUACCAGAAAGAGACGGCUAACUACGUG
RNAcentral lists this ribosomal RNA (505 nucleotides) under uncultured bacterium. RNAcentral's name for it is "partial 16S ribosomal RNA". It matches the Rfam family "Bacterial small subunit ribosomal RNA", at positions 28 to 507 of the family's 1533-position model. The record is from RNAcentral.